Molecule: ribosomal RNA, 401 nt
Filed under: uncultured bacterium
Lineage: Bacteria
Description: bacterial SSU rRNA
Rfam family: Bacterial small subunit ribosomal RNA
Source: RNAcentral
UAUUGCACAAUGGGCGCAAGCCUGAUGCAGCCAUGCCGCGUGUGUGAAGAAGGCCUUCGGGUUGUAAAGCACUUUCAGUCAGGAGGAAAGGUUAGUAGUUAAUACCUGCUAGCUGUGACGUUACUGACAGAAGAAGCACCGGCUAACUCCGUGCCAGCAGCCGCGGUAAUACGGAGGGUGCGAGCGUUAAUCGGAAUUACUGGGCGUAAAGCGUACGCAGGCGGUUUGUUAAGCGAGAUGUGAAAGCCCCGGGCUCAACCUGGGAACUGCAUUUCGAACUGGCAAACUAGAGUGUGAUAGAGGGUGGUAGAAUUUCAGGUGUAGCGGUGAAAUGCGUAGAGAUUUGAAGGAAUACCGAUGGCGAAGGCAGCCACCUGGGUCAACACUACGCUCAGACGAAG